CCUUGUACACACCGCCCGUCACACCACGAAAGUUUGUUGUACCUGAAGUCGUUGGCGCCAACCGCAAAGGGGCAGACGCCCACGGUGGGAUCAGCGACUGGGGUG
RNAcentral lists this ribosomal RNA (105 nucleotides) under uncultured bacterium. Its description in RNAcentral is "partial 16S ribosomal RNA". It matches the Rfam family "Bacterial small subunit ribosomal RNA", at positions 1379 to 1482 of the family's 1533-position model. The record is from RNAcentral.